AGAAUCAACGCUGGCGGCGUGCCUAACACAUGCAAGUCGAACGAGAAAGUGGAGCAAUCCAUGAGUAAAGUGGCGCACGGGUGAGUAACACGUGACUAACCUACCCUUGAGUGGGGGAUAACCUAGAGAAAUCUGGGCUAAUACCGCAUAAUACCUUCGGGUCAAAGGAGCAAUUCGCUUAAGGAGGGGGUCGCGGCCGAUUAGUUAGUUGGCGGGGUAAUGGCCCACCAAGACUAUGAUCGGUAUCCGGCCUGAGAGGGCGCACGGACACACUGGAACUGAAACACGGUCCAGACUCCUACGGGAGGCAGCAGUGGGGAAUUUUGCGCAAUGGGGGAAACCCUGACGCAGCAACGCCGCGUGGAGGAUGAAGUCCCUUGGGACGUAAACUCCUUUCGAUCGGGACGAUUAUGACGGUACCGAGAGAAGAAGCCCCGGCUAACUUCGUGCCAGCAGCCGC
RNAcentral lists this ribosomal RNA (460 nucleotides) under uncultured bacterium. RNAcentral's name for it is "SSU rRNA". It matches the Rfam family "Bacterial small subunit ribosomal RNA", at positions 26 to 518 of the family's 1533-position model. The record is from RNAcentral.